UGUUUUCAUUAAUCAAGAACGAAAGUUAGGGGAUCGAAGACGAUCAGAUACCGUCGUAGUCUUAACCAUAAACGAUGCCGACCAGCGAUUAGGAGACGUUGAAUACAAAACACCACCAUCGGCGCGGUCGUCCCUGGCUCGUCGUCUCACGACGGCGGGCGGGGGCGGUUUAGCCCGAUGGCACCGGUGAAUGACUCCCUAGCAGCUUGUGAGAA
RNAcentral lists this ribosomal RNA (215 nucleotides) under Acanthamoeba castellanii. Its description in RNAcentral is "partial 18S ribosomal RNA". It matches the Rfam family "Eukaryotic small subunit ribosomal RNA", at positions 965 to 1096 of the family's 1831-position model. The record is from RNAcentral. Lineage: Eukaryota; Discosea; Longamoebia; Acanthamoebidae.